CGACUGUGUUCCUAUUGUCCAAUAAACCUUCCGUUUUACUGGCUGGCUGAGAGUCACAGUGAAUCUCAGGAAGAGGGGUGCAGGCCCCGGACUCCCCCACACUCCGUGACACCUCCCGAGCCUUUCCUAUGGUGGUCAGCCAACCCCCCAGCUUUGACUGGUCUGCAUCUGGGGCAGAACACUCCCUUUGCUGCUCCGGAGCAUAAUAGAAGCUAGCCUCUUUGCCCCAGAGGGUAGCACACAAGGAUCUCUUAGCACAGUCCACAGAGCCCCCUUAUCUGCUCCUCAAUGACACCAGCAUAAACCAGGAAGGAUUCCAAGGCACUAGGGUGAGCUGGGUGUAAACCAGGAAAAUUUGGUCCAUCUCAUGCACCUUUGUUUUUCUUCAGUUCACUGGGAUAGUUCCAUCCUGCUGGGAGAUUUACUGCACUUGAACUUCUCAAGCUGCCCUGUGUCUGCUUGUUUAGAAAUUUCAAUCUCUCAUAGAUUCAUAGACUGUAAGGCCACUAGGGACCAUUUGAUCAUCUAGCCUGACCUUUUGAAUUUAUCAAGCUUUAACUAUCAACUGUUGGUUCUUGUUAUGCCUUUCUCUGUUAGAUAAAAGAGCUCUAGUGAAGGAAGGCCCUGUGCUGUUUUGUUACAUAAGCAUCUUUGGAAAAGGAAAAAACCCAUAGUCUUCUAAAGGAAAGACUCAAUGCAAAAAAAGAAUGUAACAUGUCUAUUGCUUCUCUCUACUCCCUUCCCCCUUUGGGAGUCAAAAGGCUGUAUAUCAAAUUCAGUCUGUGCAGAAAGCAAAAAUUCAUUUUUAAUUGUAUUUGCUGGGUUGGAGCUACAAAGUUAGGUCUCUCAGUCUACAGGGGUUCUGCCAGGGAUGACCAAGAGAGGUGUGCACAAAGAUCAAGGGAAAAUGGCCUUUUCAUAGAAACUAAACUGUUAGCAAAUUUACAGCAGAUUUUGGAAUCACUUUAUGAGGAAUACAAGUUGUAGGACGCUAUCUAGAAUAUUACCAUUUCUGCCCUUUCUUUAUUUGGCUAUUUGCCUAUGCAAUUACAGUCAUUAAACAUGAAAUUAGGAAUAUACAAUUUGUGUGUACAACAGCCUAUCUAAGUUAUCAGGAAUUCUGGUCUCUAAAGUAUAUAUGUUAUGGUUCAGAGUCAACAGACCACUGAGAUGGCUCAAAACUCUCAAAGCUGUUGUUUCCAACAUUGGUUCACAUUUGUAACUUUGUUUUCACAACUAUAAGGGCUAUUAAUUGUCUUUCAAUGCAAACUUUCAUUCUGCAGAAUCUGAAGCUGAAGAUGUUGUGAUGGCCAAAAGUAUAACUGGGUUCAAAAAAAGAACUAGAUAAGUUCACGAAGAAGAGGUCCAUCGAUGGCUAUUAGCCAAGAUGCUGAGGGAUGCAACCCCAUGCUUUCUGAGUGGAGAGAGGAAAUGUCAGAACCCUUCCCAUUAUGAACAAUAAUGUGUGGCUGGAGCCAGUAAAGAUUAAAGCACAGAGAUCAUGAUGGCUAAUUGGCAUAUUUAUUGACUUUUUGUUAAGGACAAAACCCAUGUGUGGGGAUUCAUGAAGCGUGCAUGAUGAGGGGUGGGCACUCCACUCCUAGCUGCCAUGGCCUCAUACUCCAAGGAGACAGUUUAUCGAUACUUCUCAGUCAGCACUGAAGAAAUCUUGGACAGGAACUUGUCCCAUGCAGCAUGGACUUCUGGGGUGAAGUCAUUGGGAAAGUGGGCAGCCACGGAGCACAGAAUGCAAUGGGAAAGCAGCUGCAAGAGAAAAGAACAGGAGGAAAUCAAAUGGAACUGCCUGAAAUAACAUUCCUCUGGCUAGUGAGACUCUGGCCUUUGAAGAAUCAAGCAGGAAUCUCCUUGCUAGUUACACAGAGUCACCUCAUGUGGAUAUGAGCUAUUGGCUAAGAAAUCCACUUCCUGCCUUCUGGACUAGAGAAAAGUCAUUGCUUAACAUUGCUCCCUCUUUCCCCUCCACAAAAGGAGAAUACAAAAUAACUGUGAAUAACCCUUGCAUUUAUAGAAGGCUUUUCAUGCAGGAACCUCAGAGCCCUUGGCCAAGAACUGUCAGUAUCAUAAUCCCCAUUUUAGAUGGGGAAGAUGAGGCACAGAGAUGUGAUGUGACCUGCUCAAGAUCACAUAGUGAGUACAUGGCAGAACCAGAGCUACUCAUUCCUAGACCAGUGCACAGCCUCCUGGACCACAGCUGCACUCUCAGGACUGACUGUUCCCAGCAAAGGCAGGAGUCUUAGCAAGCCCAAGAGGGAACAGCCAAGGACUUCCACAGCCACGCUGAUUAAAGUGAAGCUGCAGCCACAUUUCCAAGGCUCAGCAUGAUAACAGCUUCACUGCUGAGCUGCAAGGCUUAGUCCCUGCCACACUCUGCACUAUAGGGGAAAGUAUUCAGUGCUUAAGCUCCCAUCAGCCGAAGUGGCCUGGGCCCACAGACUCAGUGACCAAUGGACUCUCUUCACUCUCUGCACUUCAUGUUGGAGUUCACUCACCUUGAAGUUCACUGGAUCGACUCGGAGGAUGUAAGCAUGCAGCUCGCUAAGUGUGGCCAAGGCACCUGUAAUGUUAUCGAUGUUCUUGACAGCCUCACCAAUAGCACCCAGGACCUUAGAGCCAUGGUCAUGAAGCUGAGCAGAACCUUGGCUGAGAUCGAAAUGAGGAAAAUAGGUCUUGGUCUGGGGGAAGCUUGAAAAAAGCCUGGAAGAGAACAUUAGAAAUGGCUUCAGCAAUGGAAAUUGCACUGAGCGGCUGACACUGAGAAAGGGGGAGCCAUGACCCUGGAUAAAAGGACUCCAUUCUGCUCUUCUAGUCCAAAGCAUUAGAACUGAUAAAGAAUGGAUUAGAGAAGAUCUGUGAUCCUUAGACUGUUAAUGUCCUACUGUAACCUGUCCUAAACUAUGAGCUGAACUGGUGUGGGAAUAUUCAAAUGUUACAGGCCAGCAGUUCCACAGAAGCAGUUUGUAACCUUAUUUCUUUAUUUUAGGAAAAGAAUGAUAUCAGACCAAAUUAAUCUCUGGUAUAACUGCAUAAAUCAAUAGAGUCACACCAGGGAGGAUUCUAACCCACAGUGAAUCAUCAGAUGUAGUGGGAGCCUAGAGGCAAAUGUAGAUUUACAUGCUGAAAUGUAUUUUUAAAGCAUUUUAAACUUACUUUCUUUUCUUCUUUGGACUAAAUAACCUAAUACCUCCACACAGCCACCUGCACCUUCUGUAGUAUAUUUUCUUCAGCAGAACCAAGUUUUAUUUCCUAAUGAUAGUUAGCAAAAUCCAUAAUCUUACAGUGAAUACUCUAUAUACAGAGAUAUUUCAUUGUCCAGAAUCUUUGCUUUACCCACUAUAAGUGGGGCUAUACAUCCAGAAAGGACCAUCAAAAGAUUUAAAAUUAACUGGCUGAAUAACACAAACCGGGGACUAUUCUUCACCUGAAUAAACCAAGCCUGGUUCAAUCAACUUCCAGUUAUUUCCCU
Molecule: long non-coding RNA, 3484 nt
Organism: Dermochelys coriacea (leatherback sea turtle)
Lineage: Eukaryota; Metazoa; Chordata; Testudines; Dermochelyidae
Exons: 2
Source: RefSeq, a predicted model, not a curated record